AAGUGGUGAAUAGAAUCACAUCAUCUUUUCGAGAUGGGAGAGCUUUUACAGCCUUAGAUU
RNAcentral lists this transfer RNA (60 nucleotides) under Bullacta caurina. Its description in RNAcentral is "tRNA-Glu". Lineage: Eukaryota; Metazoa; Mollusca; Gastropoda; Cephalaspidea; Haminoeidae. The record is from RNAcentral.